GUCUAGGUUUGUGGGUCGACCGCAAGGGCCUUCCCAGAGCUUCAGCUUCGUUUGGUGUUUGGUUUGUGGGGUGAGCUUUCGUCCAGCGGGCCCCUCCUCACCCGAAGGAAAGAGGAGGGUCCCACACCGCGAGACCUUGUCCCAGUCUCAACCGACGGCGAGCGUCGGCCAGCGGCUGGGCCAGGAACAGGCGCCCGGCUCGGCCCACGAGGGGCCUGCACCGAGGGAACACAACGACUUGGUCAGCGGUCAAACGAUAUAAUAGAUUCAAUGAUCCCUCCGCAGGUUCACCUACGGAGA
This 300-nucleotide unclassified non-coding RNA is filed under the name uncultured fungus. RNAcentral describes it as "sequence contains ITS1". Lineage: Eukaryota; Fungi. The record is from RNAcentral.